This 27-nucleotide non-coding RNA is filed under the name Homo sapiens (human). The record is from RNAcentral. Lineage: Eukaryota; Metazoa; Chordata; Mammalia; Primates; Hominidae.
CAGCAGAUGGGGGGAGCCAGAAGGGAA